GAUGAACGCUGGCGGCGUGCCUAAUACAUGCAAGUCGAGCGAACAGACGAGGAGCUUGCUCCUCUGACGUUAGCGGCGGACGGGUGAGUAACACGUGGAUAACCUACCUAUAAGACUGGGAUAACUUCGGGAAACCGGAGCUAAUACCGGAUAACAUGCUGAACCGCAUGGUUCAACAGUGAAAGACGGUCUUGCGGUCACUUAUAGAGGGAUCCCGGCCGCAUUAGCUAGUUGGUACGUUAACGGCUUACCAAGGCAACGAUGCGUAGCCGACCUGAGGGGGUGAUCGGCCACACUGGAACUUAGACACGGUCCAGACUCCUACGGGAGGCAGCAGUAGGGAAUCUUCCGCAAUGGGCGAAAGCCUUACGGAGCAACGCCGCGUGAGUGAAGAAGGUCUUCGGAUCGUAAAACUCUGUUAUUAGGGAAGAACAAAUGUGUAAGUAACUAUGCACGUCUUGACGGUACCUAAUCAGAAAGCCACGGCUAACUACGUG
Molecule: ribosomal RNA, 497 nt
Filed under: uncultured bacterium
Lineage: Bacteria
Description: partial 16S ribosomal RNA
Rfam family: Bacterial small subunit ribosomal RNA
Source: RNAcentral